AGUGAACGCUGGCGGUAGGCCUAACACAUGCAAGUCGAACGGCAGCACAGUAAGAGCUUGCUCUUACGGGUGGCGAGUGGCGGACGGGUGAGGAAUACAUCGGAAUCUACUUUUUCGUGGGGGAUAGCGUAGGGAAACUUACGCUAAUACCGCAUACGACCUACGGGUGAAAGCAGGGGAUCUUCGGACCUUGCGCGAUUGAAUGAGCCGAUGUCGGAUUAGCUAGUUGGCGGGGUAAAGGCCCACCAAGGCGACGAUCCGUAGCUGGUCUGAGAGGAUGAUCGGCCACACUGGAACUGAGACACGGUCCAGACUCCUACGGGAGGCAGCAGUGGGGAAUAUUGGACAAUGGGCGCAAGCCUGAUCCAGCAAUGCCGCGUGGGUGAAGAAGGCCUUCGGGUUGUAAAGCCCUUUUGUUGGGAAAGAAAAAAAGCGUGUUAAUAUACGGCUGUCCUGACGGUACCCAAAGAGAAAGCACCGGCUAACUACGUG
RNAcentral lists this ribosomal RNA (492 nucleotides) under uncultured bacterium. Its description in RNAcentral is "partial 16S ribosomal RNA". It matches the Rfam family "Bacterial small subunit ribosomal RNA", at positions 29 to 507 of the family's 1533-position model. The record is from RNAcentral.